GAUGAACGCUGGCGGCGUGCCUAAUACAUGCAAGUCGAACGAACAGAUGAGUAGUUUGCUCUGCUGACGUUAGCCGCGGGCGUGUGAGUAACACGUGGAUAACCUACCUAUAAGACGGGGGUAACUUCGGGAAAGCGGAGCUACUACCGGAGAAUAUAUGAAACCACAGGGGGCACUAGUGACAGACGGUUUUGGGGUCGGCUGUUGAUGGAUCCGCGCCGCAUUAGCUAGUUGGUAGGGUAAGGGCUUACCAAGGCAACGAUCCGUAGCCGAUCUGAGAGGGUGAUCAGCCACACUGGAACUGAGACACGGUCCAGACUCCUACGGGAGGCAGCAGUAGGGAAUCUUCCGCAAUGGGCGAAAGCCUGACGGAGCAACGCCGCGUGAGUGAUGAAGGUCUUCGGAUCGUAAAACUCUGUUAUUAGGGAAGAACAAAUGUGUAAGUAACUAGGCACGUCUUGACGGUACCGAAUCAGAAAGCCACGGCUAACUACGUG
RNAcentral lists this ribosomal RNA (497 nucleotides) under uncultured bacterium. Its description in RNAcentral is "partial 16S ribosomal RNA". It matches the Rfam family "Bacterial small subunit ribosomal RNA", at positions 28 to 507 of the family's 1533-position model. The record is from RNAcentral.